Brachypodium distachyon (stiff brome) is the source of this 142-nucleotide non-coding RNA. NCBI's taxonomy places the organism in Eukaryota, Viridiplantae, Streptophyta, Magnoliopsida, Poales, Poaceae. The record is from Rfam.
AGAGUACUUCCUCCAUUCAACAAAAAAUGUCUCAAGUUUAUUAAAAUUUGGAUGUAUUUAGACAUGACUUAGGGUAAGUGUAUAGAUGCAUUGAAAUUUAGUCAAAGUUACGACAUCUUUUGUUGGACGGAGGGAGUAUAAU